RNAcentral lists this ribosomal RNA (459 nucleotides) under uncultured bacterium. RNAcentral describes it as "partial 16S ribosomal RNA". It matches the Rfam family "Bacterial small subunit ribosomal RNA", at positions 338 to 795 of the family's 1533-position model. The record is from RNAcentral.
CCUACGGGAGGCAGCAGUGAGGAAUAUUGGUCAAUGGGAGAGAUCCUGAACCAGCCAAGCCGCGUGAGGGAAGACGGCCCUAUGGGUUGUAAACCUCUUUUGUCGGAGAACAAAACCCGGGACGUGUCCCGGACUGCGUGUAUCCGAAGAAAAAGCAUCGGCUAACUCCGUGCCAGCAGCCGCGGUAAUACGGAGGAUGCGAGCGUUAUCCGGAUGUAUUGGGUUUAAAGGGUGCGUAGGCGGUCCGUUAAGUCAGCGGUAAAAUUGCGGGGCUCAACCCCGUCGAGCCGUUGAAACUGGCAGACGUGAUUUGGCGAGAAGUACGCGGAAGGCGCGGUGUAGCGGUGAAAUGCGUAGAUAUUAGGAGGAACACCAGUGGCGAAGGCGGCCUGCUGGGCUUUUACUGACGCUGAGGCUCGAAAGCGUGGGUAGCAAACAGGAUUAGAUACCCCAGUAGUC